This is a long non-coding RNA of Salvia miltiorrhiza (redroot sage), 894 nucleotides long. RefSeq lists it as uncharacterized. The record is from RefSeq and is a predicted model, not a curated record. The transcript has 3 exons. Lineage: Eukaryota; Viridiplantae; Streptophyta; Magnoliopsida; Lamiales; Lamiaceae.
UUUUAAUGUGCUUUAUAUCGUAUGUACUUAUGUGAUAUAUUUAUGUGUAUGAACAUCAUGAAGAUUAUUGACUAUGAUAAAUCAUGUGUACGUCUAUUCAAUAUAUACAAUUAAGUGUCAUAAAUCAUAGUGAUGAUGUGUGUAUAUGUGUAAUAUAAUAACUCUACAUUAUUGAUGUGCUAAUAGAUAAAGCAAAAUCAAAGUUUAGAUAAGUUAUUUUUUUCAUCUUUUGCUAAUGAUGUACACGUCUCUCUCCACCAACUCUUACUUUUUCCAACUCCACCACCCUUUGCUCCACCAACUAUCAGCCACCACUCCACCAUCAUUUGCUUUCCACCCAACAAAUGCAAUGCUUGGCUUCAAUGCUUUCUUCUUCUUUGAUUAAGUUCACCUGAAAUAAAACAAGAACCAUCGUUCAUUACAGUUAAUCUCCUAUUAAAACCAAUCUACUAUAGCAAACAGUACAGCAACUAAGCCAAAUAACUUCAAGUUUCUAUCCACUGAUUCAAUCACACAGCAGCCACCCAAGCACAAGGAUCCACAGGUCAAGCGCGAGAGUAAGAACUAUUCAAGAAGUCACAGUACUUAGCAAAACUUUGCUAUCAGGUUGAGCUGUGAUGGGCGAUGAAGUGUUGUUGCUGAGUGGAGUUUUUGUUGAACUUAAAGUAGGCUCAGAAAGGAUACAUGUCUUCAUACAUGUAUCUCAGUUAUGCAUUCCGCUGUAAACACUGAUUAUUUCAGUUACACCUUCCGUUGCAAACUCUGAUAAUGUUUUAGCCAAGCCCCUAACGAUGCCUUUUUCCUUUUAAGGAAUAUAACGCUUAUACAAGUUCGUUGAGUACCCUUUUUAUGCGAACUAUGCCUUUUUCCUUUUUAAGGAAUAUUUCACGCGUA